This 301-nucleotide ribosomal RNA is filed under the name uncultured bacterium. RNAcentral's name for it is "partial 16S ribosomal RNA". It matches the Rfam family "Bacterial small subunit ribosomal RNA", at positions 509 to 807 of the family's 1533-position model. The record is from RNAcentral.
CAGCCGCCACGGUAAUACGUAGGUGGCAAGCGUUGUCCGGAAUUAUUGGGCGUAAAGGGCUCGCAGGCGGUUUCUUAAGUCUGAUGUGAAAGCCCCCGGCUCAACCGGGGAGGGUCAUUGGAAACUGGGAAACUUGAGUGCAGAAGAGGAGAGUGGAAUUCCACGUGUAGCGGUGAAAUGCGUAGAGAUGUGGAGGAACACCAGUGGCGAAGGCGACUCUCUGGUCUGUAACUGACGCUGAGGAGCGGAAGCGUGGGGAGCGAACAGGAUUAGAUACCCCAGUAGUCCCUGUCUCUUAUAC